This is a long non-coding RNA of Sinocyclocheilus anshuiensis, 121 nucleotides long. RefSeq lists it as uncharacterized. The transcript has 3 exons. NCBI's taxonomy places the organism in Eukaryota, Metazoa, Chordata, Actinopteri, Cypriniformes, Cyprinidae. The record is from RefSeq and is a predicted model, not a curated record.
AGUUUUUAGAAAUGGGCUCACAGCUGUACCUUUGUCUCUGUGAUAAUGCGAAAGUAUGGCGAUACUGUCAGACUGAUUGGAUCAGCACCUAUGCAUUGAAUGACACUGUUAUACUGAUGAG